UGCGGAGGGUGCAAGCGUUGUCCGGAUUUAUUGGGUUUAAAGGGUGCGUAGGCGGCGUAGUAAGUCCGUGGUGAAAGCCAACAGCUCAACUGUUGAACUGCCAUGGAUACUGCUAGGCUUGAGUACAGACGAGGUAGGCGGAAUGGAUAGUGUAGCGGUGAAAUGCAUAGAUACUAUCCAGAACACCGAUUGCGAAGGCAGCUUACUAGACUGUAACUGACGCUGAGGCACGAAAGCGUGGGGAGCGAACAGG
This 253-nucleotide ribosomal RNA is filed under the name uncultured bacterium. Its description in RNAcentral is "partial 16S ribosomal RNA". It matches the Rfam family "Bacterial small subunit ribosomal RNA", at positions 524 to 776 of the family's 1533-position model. The record is from RNAcentral.